GUCACUCGCAGAAAUCUAGAUGGAAGAGGCAGCUUGUCCCCAGUUGGAGCGUUGUUUCUUCACUGCAAUGGUGGCCGCAUUUACCAAGUGAUGUCUCAGCCCUUCAGUCGCAUCCUAAGAGAUUACUGUUUCCAUAGGUGGACCUGCUAGAGGGCUUCACUUUUCCCAGCGCCUAACGCGCAGAUGCCAAGAUUUCCCGGAGGAAAGUGGUGGCAGUUGCUGCUUCCAGGGGCCGUGUCCUCAGCCUGCGAUGUGGAAGACAAAACGAGGUGGCAUUUUCUAAAGGCAGGAGGAGGCCCCCAGGACCCCGCGCUAAGCUGGAAGCUGGCGAGCGUGACUCCUUUAUGGAAAAGAUCUUCUGUCCAACGCCACCAGCGUCUUGCUGGAGGGAGAGCAGCACGUGUAAGUGGAAGAUUGAACAUUACACCGGGACACACGGGGAAACGGCUUUCUUGUCCCAGAGAGAGAUGUAGUCACGUCUUCUUUAGUUCCUACAAUAAUGUUUUGAAUUUCGAUCCCAUGCACAAUGUCGUCUGAUAUUUCAGGUGGGAAUAUUUUGGUUUUUUAAAAGAAUUUUUCUCAGGUUUUGUUUUUAAUGAAAGUAUAGUGGAUUUACAAUGCUGGGCCAAUGUCUGCAGUAUAGCAAGGUGACCCGGUCGUAUAUAUACAUUCCCUUUCUUAUAUUAUCUUCCCUUAUGGUCUAUCCCAAGGGACUGGAUAGAGUUCCCUGUGCUGUACAGUAGGGAGGUGGGGAUGUUUCAGUUUGAAUGUUUUUUUAAAAAAAUAUCUAGUCAGUGUUUUCCAUGUCUGACAUGGUCCAGAGAAGCAGAAUCUUCCAGAUAAAUGUUUGUCACCAUGAUGGCUGCUUAUAAAUCCUUACUCCCUUCCUCUCAUCCAAUUUAACUUGGGAGAGUGGAGACUUCGGUUUUAAAAGUUUUUUUUUUUUUUUUUUUUUCUUUCAGAGUUCCCGUCGUGGCUCAGUGGAAAGAAAUCCAACUAGGAACCUUGAGGUUGCGGGUUCAAUCCCUGGCCUUGCUCAGUGGGUUAAGGAUUUGGCCUUGCCCUGAGCUGUGGUGUAGGUCGCAGAUGCGGCUCGGGAUCUGGCGUGGCUGUGGCUGUGGUGUAGGCCGGCCGCUGUAGCUCUGAUUAGACCCCUAGCCUGGGAACCACUAUAUGUUGCAGGUGCAGCCCUAAAAGGCCAAAAAAAAGUAUUUUUUCUUUGUUAUUCCCCACUUCCUUUUUUUUUUUUUUAAAAUUAGAGUGUAGGUGAUUUACAGUGUUGCAUCAAUUUCUGCUGUGCAGUAUAGUGACCCAGUCAUACGUACAUAUACAUCCUUUGGCUCAUGCCAUCAUGUUCUACCCCAAGAGACUAGAUAUAAUUCCCUGUGCUGCACAGCAGAACUUCAUUGCUUAUCCAUUCAAAUGUAAGAGUUUGCAUCUACCGACCCCAAACUCCCCGUCCAUCCCACUUCCUCCCCUCUCCCCACAGCAACCACAAGUCUGUUCUCUAUGUUUGUGAUGUUUGUUUUGUACAUAGGUUCAUUUGUGCCAUAUUUUAGAUUCCACAUAUAAGUGAUAUCAUAUGGUAUUUGUCUUUCUCUUUCUGACUUCACUUAGUAUGAGAAUCCUAGUUGCAUCCAUUUCGUUCUUUUUUAUGGCUGAGUACUAUUCCAUUGUGUAUACGUAACACAACUUUUAAUCCAUUCAUCUGGUGAUGGACAUUUAAGUUGUUUCCAUGUCUUGGCCAUUGUGAAUAGUGCUGCUGUGAACAUAGGGGUGUACGUAUCUUUUUGAAUUGUAGUUUUGUCCAGAUAUAUGCCUAGGAGUGGGAUUGCUGGAUCAUAUGGUAGUUCUAUAUUUAGUUUUCUGAGGAACCUCCUGCCUUGCUGGGUGGUUAGCUGGCCUCAUUUCGUCAUCUGGGCAGGAGUUGGGGCUGGAGCCAUGAUGGGCAGUGUGCAGAGACCUUGGCAUGGGGUGGGGGGCCGUGCCCUUCCCCCUGCUCUCCAGGGCCAUCCUUGGGGCACAUGAGUUCAGGGAGGGGUCUGUAUCUGUACCUUCUUUCUCUUGGGCUCCUGAACGUGAAACUUUUCUCAGGAGACAACAGACAGAGACUUUUGGCCAAAGUGCACCCUCUAAGUGUGUGUGUGCAGAGUGGAGGGGCCCUUCCAAAAGGUGGCAGGCCUGCCGGCUGUCACCAUUACCCUGUCCAGCCCAGGAAGCCACUCCUGCUCCAGGCUCUGUGCUGUGAGCCUACUGCUCAGAUAUGACCACAUGAGCAUGUCAUCUUUCCAGAGAGGUGUUAUUAGCCAAGGGUUCCCGAACCCCAGGCAGGACUAUCCCAGUGGCCUUUCCUCUGCCCACUGGGAGCCUGCUCCAUGCUGGGCUUGAUCCAAGUGAGGAGGUCAGUUGUCUUCAGACUUGACCUCAGGGAAACGUGUGUGGGAUGGCUGAAGGGAACAUGGAAACCACAUUUUCAAUAAAUAUUCCAUGUACCUGUUAAGAACA
This 2505-nucleotide long non-coding RNA is filed under the name Sus scrofa (pig). RNAcentral's name for it is "lncRNA (ENSSSCG00065027006.1)". The record is from RNAcentral. Lineage: Eukaryota; Metazoa; Chordata; Mammalia; Artiodactyla; Suidae.